RNAcentral lists this ribosomal RNA (497 nucleotides) under uncultured bacterium. RNAcentral describes it as "partial 16S ribosomal RNA". It matches the Rfam family "Bacterial small subunit ribosomal RNA", at positions 28 to 507 of the family's 1533-position model. The record is from RNAcentral.
GAUGAACGCUGGCGGCGUGCCUAAUACAUGCAAGUCGAGCGAACGGACGAGAAGCUUGCUUUUCUGAUGUUAGCGGCGGACGGGUGAGUAACACGUGGAUAGCCUACCUAUAAGACUGGGAUAACUUCGGGAAACCGGAGCUAAUACCGGAUAAUAUUUUGAACCGCAUGGUUCAAAAGUGAAAGACGGUCUUGCUGUCACUUAUAGAUGGAUCCGCGCUGCAUUAGCUAGUUGGUAAGGUAACGGCUUACCAAGGCAACGAUGCAUAGCCGACCUGAGAGGGUGAUCGGCCACACUGGAACUGAGACACGGUCCAGACUCCUACGGGAGGCAGCAGUAGGGAAUCUUCCGCAAUGGGCGAAAGCCUGACGGAGCAACGCCGCGUGAGUGAUGAAGGUCUUCGGAUCGUAAAACUCUGUUAUUAGGGAAGAACAUAUGUGUAAGUAACUGUGCACAUCUUGACGGUUCCUAAUCAGAAAGCCACGGCUAACUACGUG